UGAAGGACAUCUACACUUGGAUUGAGGACC
This 30-nucleotide non-coding RNA is filed under the name Mus musculus (house mouse). Lineage: Eukaryota; Metazoa; Chordata; Mammalia; Rodentia; Muridae. The record is from RNAcentral.